This 8676-nucleotide long non-coding RNA is filed under the name Hordeum vulgare. RNAcentral describes it as "long non-coding RNA (HVUL_LNC007817)". The record is from RNAcentral. Lineage: Eukaryota; Viridiplantae; Streptophyta; Magnoliopsida; Poales; Poaceae.
AAUCAGAAGACAGAGGUAUGUUUCAAGUGUUAUUGGCCUCUAGACUGUUAUUAUUUAUACCAUGGAAGCUCUGAGUACAUUGUACCAGGGACAUACUAAAUGUCAGCAAAAAUAGGAGUACAUUCUACACUGGAAACAGUAAAUAUCAGCUAAAAAUUGAGAGUCAAUAUUUUUCCCAAAUACUAAAUGUCAUAAAAAAAGUGAAUACAUUGUACCAUGGAAGUACUAAAAUGCCAGCUAAAAAAGUAGGUCUCGCCGGGAUUCGAACCCAGGUCGCCAGAUUCAAAGUCUGGAGUGCUAACCACUACACUACGAAACCAUUUGUUGAGUGUGACUCACUGAUGGUUAUAUUUCUGUCAUUUGGCUUACAGACAAAAUAUUGUUUCUUUACUCGACGCUUCCUGUUUAAUUUUCUUCUUCUUUUUGGUUUCCUUCCAGUUGCUACUUGGUAGCUAAAUGGAGCAAAGGAAUAUCCGAUGAAUGACUUAUUUCAAUUAUCUUUUCAAUUCAUUUUAGCCAAAGGCUCCAUGGCAUGGGUACGAUCAUUUGGAGUUGCUAUUAGGAUUUACUAGGUGUAUUAGGUACAAUAAUUUGGAAAAAGUAACAUGGUCGAUACAUUCUGUAUGGCCUUGAAGGACAAUUGUUUUUGUUGCCGGAUGUGCUUUCAACCACUGACUAGUGGCCAUUGCAGUUCCUUCUUCAUGUUCAAUCACAUUGCAAGAAUACAAUAUUGUUAGUUUUUGUAUGGGUCCGCAACACAUUGCUAGAAUAGAAUAUUAAUAAGGCAUUGAUGUUCCAUCUUAAGAACAUAGGUAUACUCUUCUAUGGAAAUAAGUAGUUCAGUUCGGUCUCCACCGUAAGAAGUGGGCAAGGGAUACGUUCGGUUGCAGUGACUGAUCUGAAGUUUGUGGCUAUAGUUACUGAAUUUGCCUUUCUUGAUAGUGUACUGUAUAUUUUGGCAAGGUUUAGUCAUACCAAUAGAAAUCAGAAGACCGGGAUGUUUUAAGUGUUAUUAGCCUCUAGACUUGAGUAUUUGUACCAUGGAAGGUCUAAGUACAUUGUACCAGGAAAUACUAAAUGUCGGCAAAAAUAGGAGUACACUCACCAUGGGAACAUUAAAUUUCAGCAAAAAGAAAUGGGAGUUGAUAUUUCCCCCAAAUACUAAAUGUCCUAAAAAAGUGGGUACAUUGUACAUGCAAAUACUAAAAUGCCAGCUAAAAAAGUAGGUCUCGCCGGGAUUCAAACCCAGGUCGCCAGAUUCAAAGUCUGGAGUGCUAACCACUACACCACGAAACCAUUUGUUGAGUGUGAUCCACCGAUGGUUAUAUUUGUGUCAUUUGGCUUACAGACAAAAUAUUGUUUCUUUACUCGAUGCUUCCUGUUAAAUUUCCUUCUGCCUUUUUGGACUAGUUCUAGUUGCCACUUGGCAGCUAAAUGGAGCAAGGAAUAUCCGAUGAAUGUCUUAUUUUUUCUUUUCUUUUCAAUUCAUUUUAGCCAAAUACUUCAUUGCAUGGGUACGUCAUUUUGUAUCGUUGAGUGAUAUAGGAUUUACUAGGUGUUUGAGGCAUGAUAAUUUGGAAUAAGUAAUAUAGUUGUUCCAUUCAGUAUGACCUUGAGGGAUGAUUGUUUUGAUUGACCAACUGUGCUUUCAACCACUCGCUACUGGCCAUUGCAGUUUCUUCUUCAUGGUCACUAACAUUGCUAGAAUACAGGAUUUUGGGUGUACGGUCCUGCGUCACAUUGCUAGAAUAGAAUGUUAAUGAGGCAUUGAUGUCCCAUUUUAAGAACAGGGGUACACACAUCUAUGGAAGUAAGUAGUUCAGUUCAGUCUCCAGCGUAAGUAGUGGGGAAGAGGCAUGUUUGGUUGCAGCUACUAAUCUGAAGUUAGUAACUAUAGGUACUGAAUUUGCCUUUCUUGAUAAAAGGGCAGAUCGGUGCAUGUAGCUCCCGCUUGCGCGGGGUCCAGGGAAUUUGCCUUUCUUGAUAGUGAAAUGUAAUUUUGGCGAGGUUAUAGUCACACCAAUGUAAAUCAGAAAUCAGGGGUAUGUUUCAAGUGUUAUUGGCCUCUAGACUGUUAUUAUUUGUACCAUGGAAGCUCUGAGUACAUUGUACCAGGGACAUACUAAGUGUCAGCAAAAAUAGGAGCACAUUUUUUUCUUUCGGGAAAACACAAAGGCUUGCGUUUCUUUUCAUUGAAAAGGGAGAGAAUAUGUACAGUACAUGCCUUCGAGAAGUAGGCUACAGGGGCUCCAAAGAAAGAAAAGGAAAGGAAAAGGAAAAGGAAAGAAAGGCCUGCACAAGACUAGUGCACAUCCCAGGUAGGCGGCACAAUCGUCCCAAGGCCGGUGGCCCCAGCCCGAACCCAAAGGGAGGCUUCCUCUCUGAUCUUUGCCGAAAGCACGGCAGUGGAGGGCCGUUCGCCGUCGAACACACAUGAGUUGCGGUGCUUCCAAAGCAUCCAUGCUGUGAGGAGGGUUGCCGUGGCGAGGCCCUUGCGCAUAGCUUUAGGCGUGUCCAGCUUGGUUUGCAUCCACCAGUCGUUUAGGGAGGCCUCUUGGUCUGGCGGCUGGCAUGUCAAACGCAGCCAGGAGAGCGUGUCAUGCCACACCUGCCGCGAGAAGGGGCAGGUGACUAGCAAGUGGCGCAUCGUUUCAUGCUCUUGGUCGCAAAGGACACAUCGUGGAUGGUGUUGAAGGCCGCGGCGGCGCAGACGGUCCGCUGUCCAGCACCUGUCCAGAUUAGCAAGCCAUUGGAAGAACUUGACGCGGGGUGGCGCCCAGCUUUUCCAGGUCAGCUUCCAUGCAUCGCAGCUAGUGGAGCCCUGGAAGGUGACGAGGUACGCACUGCGCGCAGAGUAGCAGCCAUUUGAAGUCCACCUCCAGAUUAGCUGGUCCGGUCCCUCGGUGAGAACAAAGCCUUCGGUUUCGCGCCACAGCAGCAAGUAUUGGCCUAUUUCAUGGAUGCCUAGGUGGCCGUGGAUGUCUCUAGCCCAGGUGUGGUUGAGGAGGCCUUCUGCAAUGGUGCGCUGCUUGCGCCGUCGCUUGGGGAUGCAAGCGUAUAGCCUUGGCGCGACCUCGCUGACGGAGCGGCCACCGAUCCAGCGGUCCUCCCAGAAUCUCCCCGUUCUGCCAUCCCCCACGGCCAGUGUGGUGGAGGCGAAGAACAGGGCCUGCUCGUCCUUGGAGAAUUGGAGAUCGAGGCCGCGCCAAGCCCGGCCCUCAUCGAUACGGCUGAACCAGAGCCACCGCAGUCGGAGGGCGAGCCCCGCGCGCUCCAUGUCCUGGCCGCCUAGGCCGCCGAGGGAAAGCGGCCGGCAGAUGCGUCGCCAGUUGACGUGGCAGCUGCCACCGUUUGCGGCUGCGCGGCCCUCCCAGAGGAAUCCUCUCUCAAUUUUUUCAAUGAGCUUGGUGGUCUUCUUCGGAGGGGCGAAGACGAGGAGCUGGUGGAUGGGGAUAGCGCAGAGAACUGACUUGACGAGGGCGAGGCGGCCCGAUUUGUUCAUGAGCCGAGAUUUCCAGCCGGGGAGCAUGCCCCCCCACCUUGUCGACCAAUGGCUGCAGCUGGGCGCUCGAGGGUCGCCUGAUGGUGAGGGGGAUCCCGAGAUAUGUGAGCGGUAGGGUCGCGAUCUUGCACCCAAGGAGCUCCGUGGCCAGGUCUGUAUCUCCCGGAUCGCAGUUGAGCAUGGUGGCAGAGCUUUUGUUGUAGUUGACGCGCAGCCCCGAGGCUCGACCGAACAGCUCCAGGAUCGCCUUGAUCGCAGCAAUGUCACUCCGGGAGGGGUGGCAGAAGAGUACCACGUCGUCAGCGUAGAGCGAGAUCUCCGGGAUGGGGCGGUGCGGGUGCAGCUGUUCCAAGAUGCCCAGCGACACGGCCCGCUUAAUGAGACGUCCCAGUGUGUCCACGACGAGGACGAACAGUUGAGGUGACAGCGGGUCACCCUGCCGCAGUCCUCGGCGAUAGGGGGGCCUGGCUCGCCGUUGAUCAGUACUCGCGUGCGUGCAGACGACAGCAGGAGGGCCAGCCAGUCGAGGAAUCGGUCUCCGAAGCCGUACUGAUGGAGUACCUCGAACAGGAAGGGCCACGAGACGGUGUCGAAGGAGCACAUUCUACCCUGGAAACAGUAAAUGUCAGCUAAAAAUUGAGAGUCAAUAUUUUUCCCAAAUACUAAAUGUCAUAAAAAAAGUGAAUACAUUGUACCAUGGAAGUACUAAAAUGCCAGCUAAAAAAGUAGGUCUCGCCGGGAUUCGAACCCAGGUCGCCAGAUUCAAAGUCUGGAGUGCUAACCACUACACUACGAAACCAUUUGUUGAGUGUGACCCACUGAUUGUUAUAUUUCUGUCAUUUGGCUUACAUACAAAAUAUUACUUCCUCUGUCUCAAUGUAAGACUUUAGUGUCAAAAAAUGGCUUACGCCUUGAGACAGAGUAUUUAUUUACUCAACGCUUCCUUUUAAAUUUCCUUCUAUCUUUUAGAAUUUGCUUCCGGUUGCCCCUUGGCAUCUAAGUGGAGCAAGAAAUAUCCGAUGAAUGACUUAUUUCUCUUGUUUGGGUCUGCAACACAUUGCUAAAAUAUAAUAUUAAUAAGACAUUGAUGUUCCAUCUUCAGAACAUGGCUAUACGCAUCUAUGGAAACAAGUUGUUCAGUUUGGUCUCCACCAUAAGAAGUGGAGAAGGGAUACGUUCAGUUGCAGUGAUUAAUCUGAAGUUUGUGGCUUUAGGUGCUGAAUGUGCCUUUCUUGAUAGUGUACUGUAAAUUUUGGCAAUGUUGUAGUCAUAACAAUAUAAAUGGAAGACGGGGAUGUUUUAAGUGGCAUUUGCCUCUAGACUGAGUAUUUGUACCAUGGAAGGUCUGGGUACAUUGUACCAGGAAAAUACUAAGUGUCAACAGGAGUACAUUCUACUGUGGAAACACUAAAUGUCAGCAAAAAAAAUGGUGAGUCGAUAUUUUUCCGCAAUACUAAAUGUCGUAAAAAAAUGUGAGUACAUUGUACAUGGAAAUACUAAAAUGCCAUCUAAAAAAGUAGGUCUCGCCGGGAUUCGAACCCAGGUCGCCAGAUUCAAAGUCUGGAGUGCUAACCACUACACUACGAAACCGUUUGUUGAGUGUGAUCCAUCGAUGGUUAUAUUUGUGCCAUUUGGCUUACAGACAAAUAUUGUUUCUUUACUCGAUGCUUCCUGUUAAAUUUCUUUCUACCUUUUUGGAUUGGCUCUGGUUGUCACUUGGUUAUAUUGAAGGAUAAUUGUUUUGAUUGGCCAACUGUGCUUUCAACCACUCGCUACUGGCCAUUGCACUAUCUAAACUUCAUGCUCACUAACAUUGCUAGAAUACAGGAUUUUGAGUGUACAGGUCUGCGUCACAUUGCUAGAAUAGAAUAUUAAUGAGGCAUUGAUGUCCCAUUUCAAGGACAAGGGUACACACAUCUAUGGAAGUAAGUAGUUCAGUUCAGUCCCCAGCGUAAGUAGUGUAGGGAAGAGGCAUUUUUGGUUGCAGCUACUAAUCUGAAGUUAGUAACUAUAGGUACUGAAUUUGCCUUUCUUGAUAGAAGGGCAGAUUGGUGCAUGUAGCUCCCGCUUGCGCGGGGUCCAGAGAAUUUGCCUUUCUUGAUAGUGAGAUGUAAUUUUGGCGAGGUUAUAGUCAGACCAAUGUAGAUCAGAAGACAGAGGUAUGUUUCAAGUGUUAUUAGCCUCUAGAUUGUGAGUAUAUGUACCAUGGAUGGUCUGGGUACACUGUACCAUGGAAAUAUUAAAUGUCAGCAAAAUAGGAGUACAUUCUACCCUGGAAACACUAAAUGUCAGCUAAAAUAUUGUGAGUCAAUAUUUUUCUAGAAUACUAAAUGCCAUAAAAAUGUGAGUACAUUGUACCAUGGAAAAACUAAAAUGGCAGCUAAAAAUGUAGGUCUCGCCGGGAUUCGGACCCAGGUCGCCAGAUUCAAAGUCUGGAGUGCUAACCACUACACUACGAAACCGUUUGUUGAGUGUGAUCCACCGAUGGUUAUAUUUGUGUCAUUUGGCUUACAGACAAAAUACUGUUUCUUUACUUGAUGCUUCUUGUUAAGUUUCCUUAUGUCUUUUUGGACUUGCUUUCAGAUGCCACUUGGCAGCUAAAUGGAGCAAGAAAUAUCCGAUGAAUGGCUUAUUUUCUUUUUUCUUUUCAAUUCAUUUUAGCCAAAGGCUCCAUCGCGUGCGUACGAUCUUUUUGUCUCAUUGGGUUGCUAUUAGAUUUACUAGGUGUUUACUUUUUGAAAAAGCAAUGUGGUCGAUCCAUUCAGUAUGACCCCGAAGGAUUAUUGUGUUGACGGACCAGCUGUGCUUUCGACCACUCGCUAGUGGCCAUUGCAGUUGCUUCUUCAUGUUCACUCACAUUGCUAGAACACAAUAUUAAGGAGGCAUUGAUGCCCCUUUUUAAGAACAAGGGUAUACACAUCUAUGGAAAUAGGUAGUUCACAAGCAGUGGGGAAGGGGAACGUUUGGUUCCAGCUACUAAUCUGAAGUUAGUAACUGUAGGUCCUAAAUCUGCCUUUUUUGAUAGUGUACACCAUUUUGAGUUCUUGUACGGCUUCUUUCAAUCUAAAGUUAGUAACUGCAGUUUCCUUCCUGUGCACCGCUCCUAAAUCGUGAUGUCUGAUAUAGGUACUUUGGUGGUAUCUCAGACCACGUAUGAGAAUCUCCAGUCAGGUGGUAGGCCUAACGUCUAUGAUCAAGGAUGCCUGAGACUCAAGGUACAGGCUUCCAAACACAAGUUCCAGGCAUACAUACAAGAGGAAGUGAGAGCUCCACCAGCCAACCGUUUUGGGAAGGUAGAAAAGGAACCGGCUGGUGCUCGCUGUGCAGAAGUGGAAGAUGACCUGGGUACUGGUGGUGAUCUCGCUGUGCAGAAGUGGAGGAUGACCUGGGUACUGGUGGUUAUCUUACAAGGAUCUCAUUUUCACUUUGACAUGAUUAUGAAGACAUUGAUUUUGAAAGGGGGGGCAGUGGCAAGGGACAGCCUGUGUUUCUAGACAUGCAGCGAAUACAGACGAACAGGUUCCGGCAAUUAGAUGAGUGUUAUGACACUGAAGUCGGGGCUGAAGAACUCAAAAUGGAUAUCUUAUUGUUAGACAUGACAACAAGUGCACCAGUUUCAAAACACACACUGCCACCCCGUAGGGAAGCCCUCAGUAGUCCUUAUGUGACCAGAUAGAUGCUGGUGAUAGUUUAUAUGGAUAGCUAAGCUGAUGAGCUGAUUAAUUCAGACCAAAUCUGGAGAGGCAGCAACAAAAUUCCUUUCAAUGCUUGUUGAACUGAACUGCUUCCAUUGAUGAUCUCCACCAUUUUGUACCUACAGUUUGUUAUUAAUGAAUUGGUGCGGCACCCUACCUUGUCGGGAUGUUUUUUGGUGUUAUUUGUUUAGGAUAGAUGCUACAGAUAUGGAUAGCUAAGCUGAUGACUGAUUGUUCAUGCCAAAUCUGUAGAGGCGAUAACUAAAUGUCCUACAUGUCUGUUGAUUCACUUGGCUGCUUUCAUGGGUGUUCUGCACCAAUUUAUAUCUAUUUUGCUUGUUCUGAAUGAAUCAGCACGCCCUGCUAUCUCAGUCUGUUUUUUUUUUGCUAGUCUUAUGAUGAUAUUAGUGUGAUUCUUUUUGUAACUCGAUGAUGCGGAGUACGUACUUAGGAUGCUAACCUGUAAUUUCCAUGCCCCUGCUUUCAGGUUCUGCAGUGUUCAUUUGAGUCACUGUUGACGAUGAUGAAUUCUCACCCUUGCAUCCCAAAUUUGUCCCGGAUGCAGAUCGAAGUAUGCACAAUAUUGGUUCUGGGCAUAGUGCCGUCGAAUUUACGUUUCACAUUGUGUUACAAAUUGGUCAGGCCAUGAAGUUUUCUCUACCUCAACUGACCACAUACAGAGAUCAUACCAGUUGUUGGUUCGUGCUGCCGACAUGAAUUUCAUUCAUGUCGCGAUCGGCACCAGAUGCAUAUCCGUGGUUGACUGCUGAUCGUGGCACUGUCAGCGUUCCCAGUUGGGCUUCUGGAUUCAGAAUUCUGCGUUGGACUUUAUGUCCCGGUAAAUGCCAAAGUCUGAAGACCUCAAAAUUGUCUGCUCUGAACUGAAUAGAUGUGCACUGUCCCGCGAAAUACAGUGUUGUAUGGUCUCGGCAUUUUCUUGGUCGUCUGCAGUUUUGUGCAAGGGUUUUUGCCUUAUCAGGCAGACGCGUGCUAUAGUCUUAAAAAACGGGCGUCCGUUCCCGUUGCAGUUGACGUUCACCGCUGAAGUCCACUCAAGGGUCGUCCCGUCGUAUGUGAUUUCUUCACCGUUGUUUUGAGGCAGACAGACGUCUUGUAUGCAAGCAGCCUGGCAUAUCUGCCUAUCUGGUGUCACAAAUCGAGAGCAGUGAUGUGCACAGCCACACGGAGCAUAUUCAGUUAGGAGGGAAAUGCACACUGGUGCCUUUAACUUGACAUCUACAGUAUACAUGAGUAUAUGAUCAAUUUAAAGUACAAGACAAGGUACAAAUAAAUCCUAUAGGUUUUGAAUUGUGCUGUCAAAUUUACAGUUUUUACAUCGUGUUACGAAUUGGCUGGGCCAUGAUGUUUCUGUCGGUACAUCCAGAGCUCUCAUGCUUGUGUUAGCUCUAGCAAUCGUUGUCGCAACCCCCGCCAGAACCACAGCUGUACUUGACCGCUGAUUGUGGCGCUGUUUCACCG